Long non-coding RNA from Hyalella azteca, 178 nucleotides. RefSeq lists it as uncharacterized. The transcript is spliced from 3 exons. The record is from RefSeq and is a predicted model, not a curated record. Lineage: Eukaryota; Metazoa; Arthropoda; Malacostraca; Amphipoda; Hyalellidae.
GAGGUAGUGGAGGAACUGCACGUGGCGGCGAUCGGCCUAACGGACGUGCAGUUCAGCAGGCAGAUCGCGAGCAUUGUAACCCGACUGGAAAAUAUGGCGCCGGUGACAAUCGGUCGGGCGUACAGCCUGACGCGCGGCUCCCUCAUCGCCGUGCUGCAUUCCGUGCUGGGUUUCGUAA